This 831-nucleotide ribosomal RNA is filed under the name Bacillus subtilis. RNAcentral describes it as "bacterial SSU rRNA". It matches the Rfam family "Bacterial small subunit ribosomal RNA", at positions 56 to 868 of the family's 1533-position model. The record is from RNAcentral. Lineage: Bacteria; Bacillati; Bacillota; Bacilli; Caryophanales; Bacillaceae. RNAcentral also lists the same sequence under 1 other name.
UGCAAGUCGAGCGGACAGAUGGGAGCUUGCUCCCUGAUGUUAGCGGCGGACGGGUGAGUAACACGUGGGUAACCUGCCUGUAAGACUGGGAUAACUCCGGGAAACCGGGGCUAAUACCGGAUGGUUGUUUGAACCGCAUGGUUCAAACAUAAAAGGUGGCUUCGGCUACCACUUACAGAUGGACCCGCGGCGCAUUAGCUAGUUGGUGAGGUAACGGCUCACCAAGGCAACGAUGCGUAGCCGACCUGAGAGGGUGAUCGGCCACACUGGGACUGAGACACGGCCCAGACUCCUACGGGAGGCAGCAGUAGGGAAUCUUCCGCAAUGGACGAAAGUCUGACGGAGCAACGCCGCGUGAGUGAUGAAGGUUUUCGGAUCGUAAAGCUCUGUUGUUAGGGAAGAACAAGUACCGUUCGAAUAGGGCGGUACCUUGACGGUACCUAACCAGAAAGCCACGGCUAACUACGUGCCAGCAGCCGCGGUAAUACGUAGGUGGCAAGCGUUGUCCGGAAUUAUUGGGCGUAAAGGGCUCGCAGGCGGUUUCUUAAGUCUGAUGUGAAAGCCCCCGGCUCAACCGGGGAGGGUCAUUGGAAACUGGGGAACUUGAGUGCAGAAGAGGAGAGUGGAAUUCCACGUGUAGCGGUGAAAUGCGUAGAGAUGUGGAGGAACACCAGUGGCGAAGGCGACUCUCUGGUCUGUAACUGACGCUGAGGAGCGAAAGCGUGGGGAGCGAACAGGAUUAGAUACCCUGGUAGUCCACGCCGUAAACGAUGAGUGCUAAGUGUUAGGGGGUUUCCGCCCCUUAGUGCUGCAGCUAACGCAUUAAGCACU